AAAUCCAAACCUUCACUUUCGAAUGAAAGCUCACAAGCUUUGUUAUUCGAUGAAGCAGUGUUCGUUUCAUUGUCUGUCAACCAUCAGGAUGUUUCUGCUUUUCCUAAAAUGUACAUCACACACUGAGAAAUGCUGACAAAUGCAGAGUAAAAUACAGAAGUAUCUCCCAUCACUUGA
Thalassophryne amazonica is the source of this 177-nucleotide long non-coding RNA. RefSeq lists it as uncharacterized. The record is from RefSeq and is a predicted model, not a curated record. NCBI's taxonomy places the organism in Eukaryota, Metazoa, Chordata, Actinopteri, Batrachoidiformes, Batrachoididae. The transcript has 3 exons.